Molecule: ribosomal RNA, 258 nt
Filed under: uncultured bacterium
Lineage: Bacteria
Description: partial 16S ribosomal RNA
Rfam family: Bacterial small subunit ribosomal RNA
Source: RNAcentral
GUGGCGGACGGGUGAGUAACGCGUGGGUAACCUGCCUUGUACUGGGGACAACAGUUGGAAACGACUGCUAAUACCGCAUAAGCGCACAGCUUCGCAUGAAGCAGUGUGAAAAACUCCGGUGGUACAAGAUGGACCCGCGUCUGAUUAGCUGGUUGGUGAGGUAACGGCCCACCAAGGCAACGAUCAGUAGCCGGCCUGAGAGGGUGAACGGCCACAUUGGGACUGAGACACGGCCCAAACUCCUACGGGAGGAGCAUG